This is an RNA transcript of Abrus precatorius (Indian licorice), 1282 nucleotides long. It is a transcript of the gene named glycerophosphodiester phosphodiesterase GDPD4, with no coding region annotated. Lineage: Eukaryota; Viridiplantae; Streptophyta; Magnoliopsida; Fabales; Fabaceae. The transcript is spliced from 9 exons. The record is from RefSeq and is a predicted model, not a curated record.
AAUGACAGAAAAGUGAGUUUUGUGCGUCGUCUCCGGGGAUCUGCAACGACAGAGAAUUAGGCGAUGAAGCGUAGUUCAACUUCAACGGUAAGGAAACCGUUGAGGUAUUCUUCACGGAAGCUUAUACGCAACAUCAUUCUCUCUCUCGCCGUUUUGACCAUUUUGCCUCCCAUUUUCUUCCACUUCCGCCUCCGACGCUUCCACCAGAUGCAACUGCGAAAGUGCCGCUGGCUCAGCGAUCCUCCUCUCGUGUGCGCUCACGGUGGCGAUUCCUCCAAGGCUUCGCCCAACACUAUGGCAUCGUAUCUCUCUGCUCUUCAGUCUCGUGUCGACUGUGUUGAGAUCGAUGCCUCUCGUUCUUCCGACGGAGUUCUGUUCGCCCUCCAUGACAGGCAGGGAUUUGCAGCGGAUAUCUGGAAACGCUAGCUCUAAGGUUGGUUACAUGAGCUCGAAUGAGUUUAUUUCUGUAGAUAAGAGAGCUUAGUGCUUCGCAUCGGUCUACUGAGAAAUUUAACGAUGAAAGUAUACUCACUAUUCAAGAUGCUCUGAUGUUGACUUCAAAUUCAGUCCAACAGAUAAUUCUAGAUGUUAAAGUUGGACCCCCGUUUUAUGAGAAAGAACUUGCCAAAGAUAUUAUCUCCAUUGUGGAGAAUACAGAGUGCAAAAACUGCAUCAUAUGGGCUAAAAGUGACAAUUUAGUAAGGGAUGUAAUUAAGAUCUCAUCAGAAAUUACAGUCGGCUACAUUGUUAUGAGAGAACCUUCUACUGGGGCUAGGACAAAUUUGUUGAGGAUGAUAGGCGCUGAGGUUGUUGGUGUCUACCAUCCAUUGAUUGAUGAAAAGCUUAUGAGAGUUUUGCACAGGAGGAACAAAAAGGUGUAUGCCUGGACAGUUGACGAUGAGGAAUCCAUGCAAAAGGUGUUGUUUGAUCAUGUUGAUGCUAUUGUUACGAGCAACCCAACUUUUCUUCAACGCCUAAUGCAAGAUAUCAGAACACAAUGUCUUGAAGAAGGUUAUUCAUAACUACACUAAAAUUUGUUUCUAGAACGUAACAUUUUAGAGAGGCCUUUUAUGUUGUGUUUGUUAGAACACUUGUAUACCGUGUGAUCUCCAUCCUUCUCUCUUGGAUGCAAAUUGAUUUUGAGGGUGCAGAAAAACGGAGUAUUAUCAUGCAGGAUUAGACCCCUUGCCUUUGGGAUUUACAACGGGUUUUAUGUAAUCCAAUUAUCAUUUCGGUCUUAAAUAUUGAUCAUAUUCGUGAGGAAAUUGCUGGUUGCGUUACC